RNAcentral lists this ribosomal RNA (401 nucleotides) under uncultured bacterium. RNAcentral describes it as "bacterial SSU rRNA". It matches the Rfam family "Bacterial small subunit ribosomal RNA", at positions 355 to 772 of the family's 1533-position model. The record is from RNAcentral.
UGGGGAAUAUUGGACAAUGGGCGCAAGCCUGAUGCAGCGACGCCGCGUGAGGGAUGACGGCCUUAGGGUUGUAAAGCUCUUUUACCAGGGAAGAUAAUGACGGUACCUGGAGAAUAAGCCCCGGCUAACUUCGUGCCAGCAGCUGCGGUAAUACGAAGGGGGCUAGCGUUGCUCGGAAUCACUGGGCGUAAAGCGCACGUAGGUGGGUCGUUAAGUCAGGGGUGAAAUCCCGGAGCUCAACUCCGGAACUGCCUUUGAUACUGGCGACCUUGGAGUCCGGGAGAGGUGAGUGGAACUGCGAGUGUAGAGGUGAAAUUCGUAGAUAUUCGCAAGAACACCAGUGGCGAAGGCGGCUCACUGGCCCGGUACUGACACUGAGGUGCGAAAGCGUGGGGAGCAAA